GAGGGUGUAGCUCAAGUGGUAGAGCACAUGCUUAGCAUGCACAGGGUCCUAGGUUCAAUCCCCAGUGCCUCCU
Molecule: transfer RNA, 73 nt
Organism: Camelus ferus (Wild Bactrian camel)
Lineage: Eukaryota; Metazoa; Chordata; Mammalia; Artiodactyla; Camelidae
Rfam family: tRNA
About the family: Transfer RNA (tRNA) molecules are approximately 80 nucleotides in length. Their secondary structure includes four short double-helical elements and three loops (D, anti-codon, and T loops). Further hydrogen bonds mediate the characteristic L-shaped molecular structure. tRNAs have two regions of fundamental functional importance: the anti-codon, which is responsible for specific mRNA codon recognition, and the 3' end, to which the tRNAs corresponding amino acid is attached (by aminoacyl-tRNA synthetases). tRNAs cope with the degeneracy of the genetic code in two manners: having more than one tRNA (with a specific anti-codon) for a particular amino acid; and 'wobble' base-pairing, i.e. permitting non-standard base-pairing at the 3rd anti-codon position.
Source: Rfam